UAGCGUAAUCACUUGUUCUUUAAUUGAGGACUAGUAUGAACGGCCCCACGAGGACUACACUGUCUCCUUUUUCUAAUCAAUGAAACUGAUCUCCUCGUGAAGAAGCGAGGAUAAAUAUAUAAGACGAGAAGACCCUAUGGAGCUUUAAACAACUGGGGUACUUGCUAAUUCCUAAUUCAUUUCCUGAAAGCUAAACAAAUUAAAGCAUCUUACCCCCUAGUUUUAGGUUGGGGUGACCACGGAGAAAAAAUCAACCUCCACGCUGUAAGAAGCCUCCCAUCUUCUAAGCUAAGAGUUACAUCUCUAAGCAUCAACACAUUGACUCCCAUUGACCCAAUAAUUUGAUCAACGAACCAAGUUACCCUAGGGAUAAC
This 374-nucleotide ribosomal RNA is filed under the name Ranitomeya fantastica (red-headed poison frog). RNAcentral's name for it is "partial 16S ribosomal RNA". It matches the Rfam family "Bacterial large subunit ribosomal RNA", at positions 1957 to 2478 of the family's 2925-position model. The record is from RNAcentral. Lineage: Eukaryota; Metazoa; Chordata; Amphibia; Anura; Dendrobatidae.